UUGUUGGUCCAACAAAUGAAUGCUCGAUU
RNAcentral lists this small RNA (29 nucleotides) under Bombyx mori (domestic silkworm). RNAcentral describes it as "ovarian small RNA-38196". The record is from RNAcentral. Lineage: Eukaryota; Metazoa; Arthropoda; Insecta; Lepidoptera; Bombycidae.